CAGCCGCCACGGUAAUACGUAGGGUGCGAGCGUUAAUCGGAAUUACUGGGCGUAAAGCGUGCGCGGGCGGUUGUGUAAGACAGGUGUGAAAUCCCCGGGCUUAACCUGGGAACUGCGCUUGUGACUGCACAGCUAGAGUAUGGCAGAGGGGGGUGGAAUUCCACGUGUAGCAGUGAGAUGCGUAGAGAUGUGGAGGAAUACCGAUGGCGAAGGCAGCCCCCUGGGCCAAUACUGACGCUGAGGAGCGAAAGCGUGGGGAGCGAACAGGAUUAGAUACCCCUGUAGUCCCUGUCUCUUAUAA
RNAcentral lists this ribosomal RNA (301 nucleotides) under uncultured bacterium. RNAcentral describes it as "partial 16S ribosomal RNA". It matches the Rfam family "Bacterial small subunit ribosomal RNA", at positions 509 to 809 of the family's 1533-position model. The record is from RNAcentral.